RNAcentral lists this non-coding RNA (94 nucleotides) under bovine gut metagenome. RNAcentral describes it as "THF riboswitch". It matches the Rfam family "THF (Tetrahydrofolate) riboswitch aptamer". From Rfam's summary of the family: THF riboswitch presents a pseudoknot that joins P1-P2 and the loop of P3 and two THF binding. The record is from RNAcentral.
CAGAGUAGGUCCGGCGCGUAAAGUGCCGCGGGAUGGGACGUUGCCCGCGGACGAAGCACACGCAUGUGCGCGGUGCCCGGAUCGCAUCCGCUGC